AAGUGUAUCACGGUAACAAAUGUCAGGUGAGCAAACAUUUGUAAUCAUGUAUCGUGUUUAAAAAUAUGUAAUUUUUUAAGUGCGUACGGAUUAGCCCAGUUAUGUAGACCUAAUGAAGCAGAUUGUAUCAAAUUAUACAAUGCAGACGUGGCAAUUAGUUAUUCAACACUUAUUAAACAAAGUUAUGUUAUUACAAUAUUGUUGUAGAUGUAUCAUGUUGCUUGACGUUUACUUUAGGAGUUCAGGGGUACGAGUUUACCUCGGUGGACGAAAUACCGAUUGGAGAUGAGUGCAGGUAUUGCCGCACAACUACGAGUGGUUCACUGAAACAUUUGAAACAGCGGCAUAUUAGAUAUGCUAUUUAUUUCAAAGAAGAUGGAAAAGAGAAAUUUACAAUACCGUGUCUGUGUAAGGAAGGGAAAGAUGGAAAUCGAAGUCACUGGCACUGUCCAAAAUGUGGAAAACUGAUUGCCAGACAACCUAACUUUAAAGUCCACCUGGAAAAGCAUGGGUGUGUUGUUGGUGAAAAAGGUGCUAAUCAAGGUAUAUAUAUGCUUUACCUUUUUGUCUUUUAAAUUAUUGUUUAACGUACCCAAACAAAUU
Long non-coding RNA from Astyanax mexicanus (Mexican tetra), 603 nucleotides. RefSeq lists it as uncharacterized. The record is from RefSeq and is a predicted model, not a curated record. Lineage: Eukaryota; Metazoa; Chordata; Actinopteri; Characiformes; Acestrorhamphidae. The transcript has 3 exons.